This 874-nucleotide ribosomal RNA is filed under the name uncultured bacterium. RNAcentral describes it as "bacterial SSU rRNA". It matches the Rfam family "Bacterial small subunit ribosomal RNA", at positions 25 to 906 of the family's 1533-position model. The record is from RNAcentral.
CAGGACGAACGCUGGCGGCGUGCUUAACACAUGCAAGUCGAACGAGGUCCAAGUGAUGGCAACAUCACGGAAGACCUAGUGGCGAACGGGUGCGUAACACGUGAGGAACCUGCCCCGAUCUCUGGGAUAACAGUUGGAAACGACUGCUAAUACCGGAUACCGCUUCUGCAUCGCAUGGUGCGGAAACGAAAGAUUUAUCGGAUCGGGAGGGUCUCGCGGCCUAUCAGCUAGUUGGUGGGGUAAAGGCCUACCAAGGCAUCGACGGGUAGCUGGUCUGAGAGGAUGAUCAGCCACACUGGGACUGAGACACGGCCCAGACUCCUACGGGAGGCAGCAGUGGGGAAUCUUGCGCAAUGGGCGAAAGCCUGACGCAGCAACGCCGCGUGGGGGAAGAAGGCUCUCGGGUUGUAAACCCCUUUCAGUAGGAACGAAAAUGACGGUACCUGCAGAAGAAGGUGCGGCCAACUACGUGCCAGCAGCCGCGGUGACACGUAGGCACCAAGCGUUGUCCGGAUUUAUUGGGCGUAAAGAGCUCGUAGGCGGUUCGGUAAGUCGGGUGUGAAAACUCUGGGCUCAACCCAGAGACGCCACUCGAUACUGCUGUGACUAGAGUUCGGUAGGGGAGCGGGGAAUUCCUGGUGUAGCGGUGAAAUGCGCAGAUAUCAGGAGGAACACCGGUGGCGAAGGCGCCGCUCUGGGCCGAAACUGACGCUGAGGAGCGAAAGCGUGGGUAGCAAACAGGAUUAGAUACCCUGGUAGUCCACGCCGUAAACGUUGGGCACUAGGUGUGGGCUCUAACCAACGGAGUCCGUGCCGUCGCUAACGCAUUAAGUGCCCCGCCUGGGGAGUACGGCCGCAAGGUUAAAACUCAAAU